This 460-nucleotide ribosomal RNA is filed under the name uncultured bacterium. RNAcentral describes it as "partial 16S ribosomal RNA". It matches the Rfam family "Bacterial small subunit ribosomal RNA", at positions 338 to 795 of the family's 1533-position model. The record is from RNAcentral.
CCUACGGGAGACAGCAGUGAGGAAUAUUGGUUAAUGGACGAGAGUCUGAACCAGCCAAGUAGCGUGAAGGAUGACUGCCCUAUGGGUUGUAAACUUCUUUUAUAUGGGAAUAAAAUGUUCCACGUGUGGGAUUUUGUAUGUACCAUAUGAAUAAGGAUCGGCUAACUCCGUGCCAGCAGCCGCGGUAAUACGGAGGAUCCGAGCGUUAUCCGGAUUUAUUGGGUUUAAAGGGAGCGUAGGUGGAUUGUUAAGUCAGUUGUGAAAGUUUGCGGCUCAACCGUAAAAUUGCAGUUGAAACUGGCAGUCUUGAGUACAGUAGAGGUGGGCGGAAUUCGUGGUGUAGCGGUGAAAUGCUUAGAUAUCACGAAGAACUCCGAUUGCGAAGGCAGUUCACUGGACUGCAACUGACACUGAGGCUCGAAAGUGUGGGUAUCAAACAGGAUUAGAUACCCCAGUAGUC